This 398-nucleotide unclassified non-coding RNA is filed under the name uncultured Cortinarius. RNAcentral describes it as "sequence contains ITS2". The stretch from base 1 to 154 matches the Rfam family "5.8S ribosomal RNA". Lineage: Eukaryota; Fungi; Basidiomycota; Agaricomycetes; Agaricales; Cortinariaceae. The record is from RNAcentral.
AACUUUCGGCAAUGGUUCUCUUGGCUCUCGCAUCGAUGAAGAACGCAGCGAAAUGCGAUAAGUAAUGUGAAUUGCAGAAUUCAGUGAAUCAUCGAAUCUUUGAACGCACCUUGCGCUCCUUGGUAUUCCGAGGAGCAUGCCUGUGUGAGUGUCAUUAACAUAUAUAUCAGACUUAUCUUUGUUAAGUGGUCUGGAUGUGGGGGUUUUUGCUGGCUUGUUCAGCUCACCUUAAAUGCAUUAGCAGAACAAACCUUGUUCAUUGGUGUGAUAACUAUCUACGCUAUUGAAUGUGAGGGGAAGUUCAGAUUUCUAACCGUCCUUGGACAAUUCAUCAUUAAUGUGACCUCAAAUCAGGUAGGACUACCCGCUGACCUUAAGCAUAUCAAUAAGCGGAGGCU